UUAUCAACAACACAAGCCUUCAAUUAUCAGCUAACUGGGGCAUCCAUCAUCUUCUCAGAUGAAGCCUGCAACGGUGGCACUGCUCAUUUUGGUGAACAUGAUGUGCACUAUUUCAUACUUUGAUCAUGCAAGUUUUCUUGGAACAAAGGCUGAAGAAACCACCUUGCUGCCGAAUUUUGUUGGAAGCAAUGAAGGAACGAGCUCUACGAAGGGCAUAAAUCCUGGAAGGAAGCUGAUGGACAGUAUUGAUAAUUCACACCGCUGGUUUCCUAUCACAAAAAUCGAGGGCCUAAUGAACAACCCCCCUCAUCAUUAGUGUGACCGCAUGCAUUCCCUAAAGUUCAUAAAUGUAUGUCGUUCCACGCAUAUAUAUGAAGGACAUCCUACAUAGUAUAGACACGGUAUAUGUUGCAUCAGCAAGUUCUGGGUUUAGACCUAUUAUAUCUAAAUAAUCUCUGGGGCUCAAGAAAUGCUGUGUAAUCACAUGUCCAGAGCAUACGCUCAAUAUUAAUGAAUAAACCGAUGUCCUGUUUGCGAUAAUAAA
Long non-coding RNA from Sorghum bicolor (sorghum), 544 nucleotides. RefSeq lists it as uncharacterized. The transcript is spliced from 2 exons. Lineage: Eukaryota; Viridiplantae; Streptophyta; Magnoliopsida; Poales; Poaceae. The record is from RefSeq and is a predicted model, not a curated record.